CAGCCAUGCCGCGUGUAUGAAGAAGGCCUUCGGGUUGUAAAGUACUUUCAGCGGGGAGGAAGGCGAUGGGUUAAUAACCGCGUCGAUUGACGUUACCCGCAGAAGAAGCACCGGCUAACUCCGUGCCAGCAGCCGCGGUAAUACGGAGGGUGCAAGCGUUAAUCGGAAUUACUGGGCGUAAAGCGCACGCAGGCGGUCUGUUAAGUCAGAUGUGAAAUCCCCGGGCUUAACCUGGGAACUGCAUUUGAAACUGGCAGGCUUGAGUCUUGUAGAGGGGGGUAGAAUUCCAGGUGUAGCGGUGAAAUGCGUAGAGAUCUGGAGGAAUACCGGUGGCGAAGGCGGCCCCCUGGACAAAGACUGACGCUCAGGUGCGAAAGCGUGGGGAGCAAACAGGAUUAGAUACCGGGUAGUCCA
RNAcentral lists this ribosomal RNA (414 nucleotides) under Pantoea sp. Its description in RNAcentral is "bacterial SSU rRNA". It matches the Rfam family "Bacterial small subunit ribosomal RNA", at positions 389 to 797 of the family's 1533-position model. The record is from RNAcentral. Lineage: Bacteria; Pseudomonadati; Pseudomonadota; Gammaproteobacteria; Enterobacterales; Erwiniaceae.